UUGCACGCUGGCGGCAGGCCUCACACAUGCAAGUCGAACGGUAACAGGAAGAAGCUUGCUUCUUUGCUGACGAGUGGCGGACGGGUGAGUAAUGUCUGGGAAACUGCCUGAUGGAGGGGGAUAACUACUGGAAACGGUAGCUAAUACCGCAUAACGUCGCAAGACCAAAGAGGGGGACCUUCGGGCCUCUUGCCAUCGGAUGUGCCCAGAUGGGAUUAGCUAGUAGGUGGGGUAACGGCUCACCUAGGCGACGAUCCCUAGCUGGUCUGAGAGAAUGACCAGCCACACUGGAACUGAGACACGGUCCAGGCUCCUACGGGAGGCAGCAGUGGGGAAUAUUGCACAAUGGGCGCAAGCCUGAUGCAGCCAUGCCGCGUGUAUGAAGAAGGCCUUCGGGUUGUAAAGUACUUUCAGCGGGGAGGAAGGGAGUAAAGUUAAUACCUUUACUCAUUGACGUUACCCGCAGAAGAAGCACCGGCUAACUCCGUG
RNAcentral lists this ribosomal RNA (489 nucleotides) under uncultured bacterium. Its description in RNAcentral is "partial 16S ribosomal RNA". It matches the Rfam family "Bacterial small subunit ribosomal RNA", at positions 30 to 507 of the family's 1533-position model. The record is from RNAcentral.